CUUGGCUAGCAGGGUGCUGAUACAACAGCACCCUGUCAAAUUGGUAUCAACACCCUGUCAAAUUUCUGUGAGAUAAGCCUGUAUUUGAGGCUUUUUUCUUCAUGGUAUUAGAGAUAGUCGAGUACUAUAAUCCUCACCUCGCGAAACAAGACAUAACGACCUAUUAACAAUGCCUAAUUACCAAUAGAUCUGUCAUGGAAAUACAAAAUGGGAUAUAAAAAAUAUUUUUUGAAGGAUAAGUAAAGAUCUCAAAAGCACCAAAAGAAAUUCUGUCACCAACAUUUCUAACAUUAACAUCUUCAAGAUUCCCACGCACAAAUAUGGAAAGAUUCUCAUUGCUAAUUGGUAAAAAUAAACAAAAAAAAUCAGGAAAAAAAAAAUUAAUCACAAAAAAUGUUAUACUUUUCCUCGAGCAAACAAAAAGACACGCAAAUAUAUAUCAAAGGUUCUUACACUGCCCUAGCCAGAACCAAAAAGAUCCUUUUUUCUUGGAGAAUAAUAGAUAAGAUUAAAAAUAUAAAUGACAAUUAAUUAACCCUAAUCCCAAUAAACAAGAAUAAAUAUAGCCACGAAUAGUUAUAAUUAUUGAACGCGAGAUGCAAGAAAAAUUUCCCGUGAUCCCAUCAACGGGUGAAGCUACCACAUGAUCUGAUCUUCUUACGACGAGGUAGAAAGUUGAGAUCAUGCUGGCAGCUUCAACUGGUAAUGGUGCACGAUCGCUCAAUAAACGUAAAAUUUUCCUUUCAACGGCACGAAUAAUCGAUGUAGAUAUGUAUAGAGAGAGAAAGAGGGGGAACGGGAGAGGGGGGGGGGGGGAGAGAGAGAGAGAGAGAGGGAGGGAGAGAUGUA
Molecule: long non-coding RNA, 849 nt
Filed under: Olea europaea subsp. europaea
Lineage: Eukaryota; Viridiplantae; Streptophyta; Magnoliopsida; Lamiales; Oleaceae
Source: RNAcentral